Molecule: long non-coding RNA, 5007 nt
Organism: Capra hircus (goat)
Lineage: Eukaryota; Metazoa; Chordata; Mammalia; Artiodactyla; Bovidae
Source: Ensembl
AGCAAACAUUUCCAGACUGCCCACGGGAUGCAAACGUCUCCCAUGCUCUGGGCACCGAUGGGCUUCUGCUGUGAGUCCUGGCUCACCCCCGAAGGCACAUGAGGAGGGUGCACUCUGGCCGACAUGCAUGCCCAGGAGCAGCCGGCUGUGAAAAUGACGGAAGUCCGAGAAGACACUGCUGGAGUCGUCAUGGACGAAGCAGGCCCCUCUCGGCUGGCUGUAGAAGCGUCCACACGUCUCAGAGCACAGACCGCACCUCCCUCGACUGCUCGAUGGCUAAUGGCUUGCAGUCCUGCAGGUGCCAUGCCGGCUGCUCCCUGCCCCCCAGUCCCUGACCCAGCAGGGAAGCCCCCGGACCAGCAAGCCCAGAACGAGGAUGGGGUGACGUCAGGACCCACUGAGGGGUCCCAUCAACAGAGCAUGCUGACCCUGGGGAGGACAGGGGACCCGGAAGAGGACGGUGGGCAGAGGCCGCCGUGCGCUUCUCUGAAAGAGGCUGCCAGGCGUCACUGCUGGGAAUUCAUCAGGAGCUCUUGAAGGACAGAAGAACAAAGAAAGCAGGUGAGGUUGUCAGGAGACGAUGAGACGGGAGCUGCCAGCUAGUGGCGCGUCGACGUGACACCAUUUACUUAGGGUCCUUCAUGUUAGAGAUUCCAGUGCCGAGGCCAACACGCCUCUUCAGUCGGGGGGUGGGCUGGCGCACCCACGGUUUACCAUCCAGAGAUGGAGGAAAAGGGUGCUACCCGGCGGUACCUCACUUCCAGGCAGAAGAAUAAGAGGCCCUCUGGGGGGUGUUGCUUGGACUCUUCCUUAAGUGUGUAAAGAAACAAAUGCCCUCUUUUCUUCUAUAGUGAUGAACGUUUUCCUGGGUGUUUCGUACACCUCCUGUGGUUCUCUUGACAAGGCAGGGAAGGGACUGUGUUAACAUGCCCAGGGCUGGAGUGUGGGCCAGUUCCUGCUCCCCACUCUUCCCUCCCUCUCUGUCUCUCUGUCUGUCUCUGUCUCUCUGUCUCUGUCUCUCUGUUUCUGUCUCUGUGUCUCUCUGUCUCUGUCUCUCUGUCUGUCUCUCUGUCUCUGUCUCUCUGUCUCUGUCUCUCUGUCUCUGUCUCUCUGUCUCUCUGUCUGUUUCUCUGUCUGUCUCUGUCUCUCUGUCUCUGUCUGUCUCUCUGUCUCUCUGUCUGUCUCUCUGUCUCUGUCUCUCUGUCUCUCUGUCUGUCUCUGUCUCUCAUGCCCCUACACCUGAUGGUCCCUAGUUUUCUGGGGAGAACCCCAGAAUCCAAACUGAGAGAUUCUAGCUGGUCCUGGAUUCUCCCCACACAAAUUCUUCAUCUGGGUUUUUCUGCCUCUGCUUGGGCCUUGGGAGGACCGUGUCUCACACAGAAGCAGCUCCUGCUACCAUCACGUGUGUGGGAUCAUCAGGAAUAGCCUAUAACGACACACAGGUAAGCACAAAAAGCGUCAUCCGUCCACUGAGCUGUAAUCUUGCUCUUCUUGACUCGGACUUCAGCUCAGCCCCUGGAGGACAAGCACACACACACACACACCUCCAAGGAAACUAUUUCUUCUACUUGAAAACUCUUCAAAUAUUUGGAGGGUUUUCCGUGUCCUCUUAAUCUUUUCUGAGCAGGGCAAAUCCAGCCCCAUCAAUAGAUUCCCGCAGAGCAAAGACUGCUGUUAUCACUCAGCCCUUCGGCAAACACCUUGAGUCCACUGUGAGCUGAGCAAACAGCCAAGAGCAUCGUCCCUUCUAGGAGCCUCUGCCUGGGCUCCUACCUGAGCUGCCCGCAGCCACCUGCCCUGGACACACCCAGAUCUCCAGAUAUCGCGUCAGGGCCCCGUAGGCAGUGCCACCCGUCUCCUAACUUUUAACUUGUAGAUUUAACCACACAGAGCAGAUUUGCUUGGAUGUUUCUACUCCAUGUUGGGUCCUCUGGGCAUCCAUCAACAUUCGGUGUAAACUGCUUAGCUUUUGGGGACCUGCCUGGUGGUCCAGUGGUUAAGAAUCUGCCUUACAAGGCAGGGGAUUUGGGUUCGCUCUCUGGUCGGGGAGCUAAGACCCCACAUGCUGUUGGGCACCUGAGUCUUCCCACUGCAACCACUGAAGCCGGAGAGCUCUGGAGCCCGUGUGCUACGCUUACAGAGCCCGUGUCCACAGCUAGAGAGAGUGUGCACAGCACAAGACCCACAACACUGAGCCCGUGUCCACAGCUAGAGAGAGUGUGCACAGCACAAGACCCACAAUACAGAGCCCGUGUCCACAGCUAGAGAGAGUGCGUGCACAGCACAAGACCCACAAUACAGAGCCCGUGUCCACAGCUAGAGAGAGUGUGCACAGCACAAGACCCACAAUACAGAGCCCGUGUCCACAGCUAGAGAGAGUGUGCACAGCACAAGACCCACAAUACAGAGCCCGUGUCCACAGCUAGAGAGAGUGCGUGCACAGCACAAGACCCACAAUACAGAGCCCGUGUCCACAGCUAGAGAGAGUGCGUGCACAGCACAAGACCCACAAUACAGAGCCCGUGUCCACAGCUAGAGAGAGUGUGCACAGCACAAGACCCACAAUACAGAGCCCGUGUCCACAGCUAGAGAGUGUGUGCACAGCACAAGACCCACAAUACGGAGCCCGUGUCCACAGCUAGAGAGAGUGUGCACAGCACAAGACCCACAAUACAGAUCCCGUGUCCACAACUAGAGAGAGUGUGCACAGCAUAAGACCCACAUCACUGAGCCCGUGUCCACAGCUAGAGAGAGUGUGCACAGCACAAGACCCACAAUACAGAGCCCGUGUCCACAGCUAGAGAGAGUGCGUGCACAGCACUAGACCCAUAAUACAGAGCCCGUGUCCACAGCUAGAGAGAGUGUGCACAGCACAAGACCCACAACACUGAGCCCGUGUCCACAGCUAGAGAGUGUGUGCACAGCACAGAAGACCCACAACACUGAGCCCAUGUCCGCAGCUAGAGACAGAGUGCGUGCACAGCACAAGACCCAUAAUACAGAGCCCGUGUCCACAGCUAGAGAGAGUGUGCACAGCACAGAAGACCCACAACACUAAGCCCAUGUCCACAGCUAGAGAGAGUGUGUGCACAGCAUAAGACCCACAAUACUGAGCCCGUGUCCACAGCUAGAGAGAGUGUGUGCACAGCACAAGACCCACAAUACAGAGCCCGUGUCCACACUAGAGAGAGAGUGUGCACAGCACAGAAGAUCUACCCAAGAAAGGCAGAUCCCUCAUGCUGCAACCAAGUCCUGACGCAGCCCAAUAAGUGAAGACAAAUGCCCACCCUACAACCUCACAAAGCCUUCUUGGCUUUCGGGGCACUUUUACAGGCUUCCUCGCUGGUCUGACUGACAAUGCAUGACGAUGCUCUCUUCAAGUUUCUGUCAUGUUUCGUGUUCUCGGGGGAGCAUGACAACAGCUGGAAGAGGCCAGAGGCUGUCUGGCUCCAGACUCUUUUUUUGUGGAAGAGGAAACUGACCCAGACAUGCAGACGCAUUAUUCUCCAUUCAUUCAUUCUGCACAAUACCUUUAUCCUUGCUGUAGACGUCUUGUUUCCUUUAUUUUUUAGUUGAAGAGCGUAACUUUAGAGACUGACUACAUUCGCCCACUCCUAACUCUUCAUAUUCAAGGUGGGCGCCCUGUACAGCCUUGCGGCACAGUCAUUAGCCCAUUCUCCCAUUCAACAAACUACUUCAGCCUUUUAUUAUGAGAGAUUUCAAAGACAAGAGAGACUGAUACUAUAAACACAAUUGUAUAUGGCACUUCAGUUUAAAUUAGAGCAUGUGCCAAUUAUUUCUUUAUUUCUUCAAAGAUUUUUCUCAGAAAUUUUAAAGCGUGUUCUAAACAUCAUAACAUCUGAAGCAUAAAUGCUUCAUACACGCCUUUGCUGAGAAGGGUGUGCACACAUAUAAAGUCUGUAUCUUUAUCCAUAUGCAUUUAUCCAUCCAUCCACCCAUCGCUUACAAAAGCCACAAGGCCACUGCCACCUCGAAGGAAGGCAACAGAAAUAGAUGCUCUGAUAUUUUACGAUUUCUGUGUUGUCCUCAAAGGGUCUUUUCACAGCGGGUUCGCUGUCUGCGUUUGUGGCCACGUGGCUUCAGGUGUUUCUUCCACACAGCCCUUCCUCUUCCUUCGCAGCCCCUGGUUUGCUGGAGAAGCCGGUGUCGUCUGCUUUGUCUGUGUCUCCUUGCCUUUCACGUAAACGGCUAGUGGGUCUGGGGCUCGAUCUAGUUCCAGUCUGGCCUUCUUGCAGGAGCUCCUCAUGAGUGGAGCCGGUCUGCUGCCUGGCGUGUCGGGAGGUGGUCCUGUCUUGGUGGUGCUCGGGCUGGCAGGGUCCGGCCGACGCCUCUGACCUCCGAUCACCUUCAAGAGCCGAAUGUGGUGUCUGCCACCUGUGGCUGCUGAAUGGACCAGUUACAUCACUCGGAGUUGACAAAUGGAGGCUUUCUUGUUCUAACUUUACUUCUGAGUUAAUGACUGGGAUUAUUCUUUUUAACGAAUUUUAUCUCAUCGGUUUUGAACUGAAUAUGGGAAGAUAAACACUUGACCUUCCUCUCUUUAAUUUCAAGGUGAAGCGCAGCCUUCCACUUCUGACCAAUAAGGACGUACUUCUGGGACAUCAAUGUGAACACAUGAAUUCUGUAUGUUGAUGAGUCUCAGUCAAUUGCAGUUAUUUUUCUUUCUGAUAGUCUUAUUGUUCCAUAUUGAGUCAGUGAGAACCUUUCCCGAUGAUGAGCGUCUAAAGUUUUUACCAAAUUAGAAGGAAAAGUCUUACUCCUUCAGAUAUUUUUCUUUAUCUUGUUUUGUAAAAGUCCAGUUAUGGGUGUUUUAGACAGAUGGAUAUUGAGAGUUCGUUAACCUUUUCCAGCAUUUCUCUUUCCUGUAGGAUAAUUGCUGCUGCUCUAUUUUCAGGUUCAAUUUUAUUUGCUUCUAUUGCGUUUAAUUUGCUCAUAAUUCCAUCCAGCAUAUUAGUCACUGGGGUUGUUGUGGUUUUUUUUCAGUCA